Molecule: ribosomal RNA, 250 nt
Filed under: uncultured bacterium
Lineage: Bacteria
Description: partial 16S ribosomal RNA
Rfam family: Bacterial small subunit ribosomal RNA
Source: RNAcentral
UACGUAGGGUGCGGGCGUUAAUCGGAAUUACUGGGCGUAAAGCGUGCGCAGGCGGCCUCUUAAGUCAGAUGUGAAAUCCCCGGGCUUAACCUGGGAACUGCGUUUGAAACUGGGAGGCUAGAGUGUGGAAGAGGGGGGUGGAAUUCCAGGUGUAGCAGUGAAAUGCGUAGAGAUCUGGAGGAACACCGAUGGCGAAGGCAGCCCCCUGGGCUGACACUGACGCUCAUGCACGAAAGCGUGGGGAGCAAAC